This 253-nucleotide ribosomal RNA is filed under the name uncultured bacterium. RNAcentral describes it as "partial 16S ribosomal RNA". It matches the Rfam family "Bacterial small subunit ribosomal RNA", at positions 524 to 776 of the family's 1533-position model. The record is from RNAcentral.
UACGGAGGGGGCUAGCGUUGUCCGGAAUCAUUGGGCGUAAAGCGCGUGUAGGCGGCCCGGUAAGUCCGCUGUGAAAGUCGGGGGCUCAACCCUCGGAUGCCGGUGGAUACUGUCGGGCUCGAGUACGGAAGAGGCGAGUGGAAUUCCUGGUGUAGCGGUGAAAUGCGCAGAUAUCAGGAGGAACACCAAUUGCGAAGGCAGCUCGCUGGGACGUUACUGACGCUGAGACGCGAAAGCGUGGGGAGCAAACAGG